RNAcentral lists this ribosomal RNA (468 nucleotides) under uncultured bacterium. Its description in RNAcentral is "partial 16S ribosomal RNA". It matches the Rfam family "Bacterial small subunit ribosomal RNA", at positions 28 to 507 of the family's 1533-position model. The record is from RNAcentral.
GACGAACGCUGGCGGCGUGCUUAACACAUGCAAGUCGAACGGAAAGGCCCUGCUUUUGUGGGGUGCUCGAGUGGCGAACGGGUGAGUAACACGUGAGUAACCUGCCCUUGACUUUGGGAUAACUUCAGGAAAAUGGGGCUAAAACAGGAUAGGAGCUCCUGCUGCAUGGGGGGGGUUGGAAAGUGUCGGCGGUUGGGGAUGGACUCGCGGCUUAUCAGCUUGUUGGGGGGGUAGUGGCUUACCAAGGCUUUGACGGGUAGCCGGCCUGAGAGGGUGACCGGCCACCUUGGGACUGAGGUACGGCCCAGACUCCUACGGGCGGCAGCAGUCGGGAAUAUUGCACAAUGGGCGGAAGCCUGAUGCAGCGACGCCGCGUGCGGGAUGACGGCCUUCGGGUUGUAAACCGCUUUCGCCUGUGCCGAAGCGUGAGUGACGGUAAUGGGUAAAGAAGCACCGGCUAACUACGUG